This is a non-coding RNA of Brassica napus (rape), 73 nucleotides long. Lineage: Eukaryota; Viridiplantae; Streptophyta; Magnoliopsida; Brassicales; Brassicaceae. The record is from Rfam.
GGGGAUGUAGCUCAUAUGGUAGAGCGCUCGCUUUGCAUGCGAGAGGCACAGGGUUCGAUUCCCUGCAUUUCCA